Gossypium raimondii (Peruvian cotton) is the source of this 427-nucleotide long non-coding RNA. RefSeq lists it as uncharacterized. Lineage: Eukaryota; Viridiplantae; Streptophyta; Magnoliopsida; Malvales; Malvaceae. The transcript is spliced from 3 exons. The record is from RefSeq and is a predicted model, not a curated record.
GUUCUUUGGUUUUUGGCUAUUUCUCAUCGCGAAUUGCUGUUGUUUUGAUAUAAUCUAAUUAUAUUUCCAAUUUGGCGGUUUAUUUUUGGCUAGAGUUGUUGUGCAAGGGCAGGGACUUGGACUUCGCUAUGGCCAUGUUAUGGAUUUGGUUGUACAGAGAUAUCUUGUCACUGUAAGCGGCAAUGAUGGAAAAUGAGUUCUUUCAGAUGCAUGGGCUUUGGAUACUGGCCAGAAACCAUAUGUAUGGCAGAGACUAAACCCUGAAGGCGAUAGGCCUUCUGCUAGAAUGUAUGCGACUGCUAGUGCCCGCUCGGAUGGCAUGUUUUUACUUUGUGGUGGAAGAGAUUACACUGGGGCGGUAUGAUCAAUCCUUGUAUAACAUGUACUUUAUGCAUAAUACAUUACGAUUACAGAUGGAGAUGAUGAA